CCUACGGGUGGCAGCAGUGAGGAAUAUUGGUCAAUGGGCGCAAGCCUGAACCAGCCAAGUCGCGUGAGGGAAGACGGCCCUACGGGUUGUAAACCUCUUUUGCCGGGGAGCAAGCCUGAGCACGUGUGCCCAGGCGGAGAGUACCCGGAGAAAAAGCAUCGGCUAACUCCGUCCCAGCAGCCGCGGUAAGUCGGGGGAUGCGAGCGUUAUCCGGAUUUAUUGGGUUUAAAGGGAGCGCAGGCGGGCUGGUAAGCCGGCGGUAAAAAUUCCGGGCUCAACCCUGUCGAGCCGUCGAAACUGGCAGCGUUGAGUGGGCGAGAAGUAUGCGGAAUGCGUGGUGUAGCGGGGAAAUGCAUAGAUAUCACGCAGAACUCCGAUUGCGAAGGCAGCAUACCGGCGCUCAACUGACGCUCAUGCACGAAAGUGUGGGUAUCGAACAGGAUUAGAUACCCGAGUAGUC
RNAcentral lists this ribosomal RNA (460 nucleotides) under uncultured bacterium. RNAcentral's name for it is "partial 16S ribosomal RNA". It matches the Rfam family "Bacterial small subunit ribosomal RNA", at positions 338 to 795 of the family's 1533-position model. The record is from RNAcentral.